UAGUAUCAGAUUUGAAGGCAAAGAAGCAGAGGGGAAAGUGUCGUGGUGAGAAAUUGAGAGCGAGCAUGGGAAGUAGAAUGGGAAGAAGGGUGGUGCAGUUCGCAAACCUACCGAUAAAGCUUUUGAUGCCGAACAGCUUCACCAACAUUCGAGAAAUUGCGCUCAAGACCAUUCCCUCGGCCUCCAAGAUCGAGAUCAAGCGCGUUCUCGAAUCCCUCUACGGCUUCCAGGUCGAGAAGGUUCAGACGCUGAACAUGGAGGGCAAGAAGAAGAAACGGGGCGGCUUGUUGAUCGCCAAACCUGAUUACAAAAAGGCCUACGUCACCCUCAAGAACCCGCUCUCCAUUUCGCCGGAUCUCUACCCGAUCCGAAUCGUCGAGGAGGAUAAGAAGAGGGUCAACAAGCAAACUAUGUCCAGCGUCGUCCAGCAAGAGGCCCACACCAGGAGUCACUGGCUCGAUGACAGGAAGGAGGCCCAACAACCCUUCAGGGCCCAACAACAUCGACGUUUGGGCCGGCCCGAGAGUGCAGCUAAUGCUAAGUUCCCCUGGUCUAGUAUGAGAUUGAAUGAUUGGUUUGCAGCUCUGGCACUUCUUUUUGUACGACAAAAGUGUACUGUAUUUGAACUUCACAGGAUACUGUAGGCAAGAAAGAUUUAGAAGUCUCGUGUCAAGCUACACAAGAUAUUCUUCUGUUGCGGUUAUUGUAUAUAAUGGAGGCAUUAGUCAUGGAAUAUAGAUAUACGAAAAUAGAGCAGUUGGGAGGAUGUGUUUCGUUGUUUUUGCAGUGUCGAAGGAAGGAAACUACUUGUUAGGGCAGUAGCCUAUCUCUGCAAUUCUGUAUUUCAAAUUCUUGUUAAUUUCACACUUGUUAUCAAUAAAAUUCUGUAAUUUGUUGUGCAA
RNA transcript from Vigna unguiculata (cowpea), 902 nucleotides. RefSeq lists it as uncharacterized. The record is from RefSeq and is a predicted model, not a curated record. Lineage: Eukaryota; Viridiplantae; Streptophyta; Magnoliopsida; Fabales; Fabaceae.